GUGGGGAAUUUUGGACAAUGGGCGCAAGCCUGAUCCAGCAAUGCCGCGUGUGUGAAGAAGGCCUUCGGGUUGUAAAGCACUUUUGGCAGGAAAGAAAUAGCGCGUGCUAAUACCAUGCGCGAAUGACGGUACCUGCAGAAUAAGCACCGGCUAACUACGUGCCAGCAGCCGCGGUAAGACGUAGGGUGCAAGCGUUAAUCGGAAUUACUGGGCGUAAAGCGUGCGCAGUCGGUUUUGUAAGACAGGUGUGAAAUCCCCGGGCUCAACCUGGGAACUGCACUUGUGACUGCAAGGCUAGAGUGUGUCAGAGGGAGGUGGAAUUCCGCGUGUAGCAGUGAAAUGCGUAGAGAUGCGGAGGAACACCGAUGGCGAAGGCAGCCUCCUGGGAUAACACUGACGCUCAGGCACGAAAGCGUGGGGAGCAAACAGGAUUAGAUACCCCUGUAGUCC
RNAcentral lists this ribosomal RNA (450 nucleotides) under uncultured bacterium. RNAcentral's name for it is "partial 16S ribosomal RNA". It matches the Rfam family "Bacterial small subunit ribosomal RNA", at positions 354 to 796 of the family's 1533-position model. The record is from RNAcentral.